Molecule: ribosomal RNA, 253 nt
Filed under: uncultured bacterium
Lineage: Bacteria
Description: partial 16S ribosomal RNA
Rfam family: Bacterial small subunit ribosomal RNA
Source: RNAcentral
UACGUAGGGGGCAAGCGUUAUCCGGAUUUACUGGGUGUAAAGGGAGCGUAGACGGCGAUGCAAGCCAGAUGUGAAAGCCCGGGGCUCAACCCCGGGACUGCAUUUGGAACUGUAUAGCUAGAGUGUCGAAGAGGCAGGCGGAAUUCCUAGUGUAGCGGUGAAAUGCGUAGAUAUUAGGAGGAACACCAGUGGCGAAGGCGGCCUGCUGGACGAUGACUGACGUUGAGGCUCGAAAGCGUGGGGAGCAAACAGG